UGCGUCUGAUUAGUUAGUUGGUGAGGUAACGGCUCACCAAGGCGACGAUCAGUAGGGGGUCUGAGAGGAUGAUCCCCCCACACUGGUACUGAGAUACGGACCAG
This 104-nucleotide ribosomal RNA is filed under the name uncultured bacterium. RNAcentral's name for it is "partial 16S ribosomal RNA". It matches the Rfam family "Bacterial small subunit ribosomal RNA", at positions 232 to 334 of the family's 1533-position model. The record is from RNAcentral.